This 1683-nucleotide long non-coding RNA is filed under the name Macaca fascicularis (crab-eating macaque). RNAcentral describes it as "lncRNA (ENSMFAG00000050247.1)". Lineage: Eukaryota; Metazoa; Chordata; Mammalia; Primates; Cercopithecidae. The record is from RNAcentral.
UUGCUCAAGGACCAAAGCUGCCUUUGUUAAACAAAUGAAAGAUCACAAGAUUAGGAUAAUGGAAGGGGCCUGAAUUCUGCUAAAAUAUAAGCAUAGUUCCUAUAAUUCCUUACUGUUCAAGAGUCAUGUGGUCAGAGGUCACAAGAUUUGUGAAUUCCCCAAUUGCUCCUAUAGAUAAUAUCACUAUUGUAGAACUUAAGAUUGGUCUUUUGAGAUGUUUUUCAGACUUUUGCAUUCUGUCAACUGAUUGACUCUACGUAGACCCAGGACUUAUGACUCAAUCAGAAUUGUGGCCCCUACCUAGAGGCAGACUCAUUGUACAAGAACUGUUUUCCACACCCUUAUGAUUUUAUCUCCAACCAAUCAGCAGCACCCAUUCCCUAGACCCUUGAUCACCAAAUUACCCAUAAAAUCUCUAGUUCUCAGGGAGACUAAUUUGAGUAAUAAUUCCAGUACUUCUGCUUGGCUAGCUCUGCAUUAAUUAAUUAAGCUCUUUCUCUGCUUCAAUACCACAGUCUCAGUGAAUCAUUUUUGUCUAUGCAGAGAGCAGGAAGAACCCAUUGGGUGAUUGCAUAGAAAGCAAGAUGAAUUCUCCCAUUGCUUCCUGUCUAUACUGAAUAAGUUUUAGCCAGGACGAAGGAAGAGGAUUAAGGAAAUACUAACAGUGAUAUCUACUGAUACUAACCAGGCAUUGUCAAAUAAAAACUAAAUCUGCACUUAGAUAAGGAGAAAAUUUUAUUUUAAAAGAUUUUUCAAGAAGUAGAGCUGAGAAGAAAGAAGGGAUUUUGCAAUACAAGGAGGGAGACUACUGCAACAGGGAGAAGUCUUCAACAAGAUCUGCAAAUUCAAGAGUUAGGCAAAAUGGUAGGCCAAGCAUGGUGGCUCAUGCCUGUAGUCCCAGCACUUUGGGAGGCCAAGAUGGGAGGAUUGCUUGAGGAGUUCAAGACCAACCUGAGCAAUAUAGUGAGAUCCUAUCUACACACAAAAAAAAUAAUAAUUACCUGGGUGUGGUGGUACAUGCUGUAGUCCCAGCUAACUGAGCUAACUGUGGGGCUGAGGUGGGGAGGAUUGCUUGAGUCUGGGAGGUCAAGUGCAGUAAGGUAUGAUUGUACCACUGAACUCCAGCCUGGGGGACAGAGUCAGAGACUUGGCUAGAAGGAAUCUGGGGUAGGACAGAGAAAUGAAAGAGUGAGAUGGCUAAUCUGAUAGUAGUAGGUCAGAGACUGCCUGCCCCUGGAGCCAGCCUAUUUUCAGGAGGGGCUGUUAAGAGGGAGUUAUAUGCUAGCUCAGGUUGAGGAUGGAUCAAAUUUUGGGAUUUAGGGGAAGGAGAUAAUUUUAACCAAAGUUUGAUUAACAAGCACUUUGUUCAGAUUUAGAUUCCAUGGGCACAAGCAGUUCAGCUAGUCAGUUAGGAAUUUAGAGGAUCUUUGUCUGGCCUUGUCAAAGGUGAAGGAAACUAAAUAUUUCACCUGAAAAUAUUUCUCCUGGGUAUGAUGAAUAUUUUAAAUUAAAGGCCCUUAAAGAUCAACAGAGAUCUAGACGAGUCUUUUUCCCCUAUGUACAUAAAGACCCCACAGAUCCACUAAGGAGAACAAUUAUUUUUCUUUUCUCUCCCUGUUACCUCAUUACCCACUGGGGGAAAAAAAAUGAUGAAGAUGCAGAGUAAAAAGGAAAAAAAAAAAA